This 497-nucleotide ribosomal RNA is filed under the name uncultured bacterium. RNAcentral describes it as "partial 16S ribosomal RNA". It matches the Rfam family "Bacterial small subunit ribosomal RNA", at positions 28 to 507 of the family's 1533-position model. The record is from RNAcentral.
GACGAACGCUGGCGGCGUGCCUAAUACAUGCAAGUUGAGCGCUGAAGGUUGGUACUUGUACCAACUGGAUGAGCAGCGAACGGGUGAGUAACGCGUGGGGAAUCUGCCUUUGAGCGGGGGACAACAUUUGGAAACGAAUGCUAAUACCGCAUAAAAACUUUAAACACAAGUUUUAAGUUUGAAAGAUGCAAUUGCAUCACUCAAAGAUGAUCCCGCGUUGUAUUAGCUAGUUGGUGAGGUAAAGGCUCUCCAAGGCGAUGAUACAUAGCCGACCUGAGAGGGUGAUCGGCCACAUUGGGACUGAGACACGGCCCAAACUCCUACGGGAGGCAGCAGUAGGGAAUCUUCGGCAAUGGACGAAAGUCUGACCGAGCAACGCCGCGUGAGUGAAGAAGGGUUUCGGAUCGUAAAACUCUGUUGGUAGAGAAGAACGUUGGUGAGAGUGGAAAGCUCAUCAAGUGACGGUAACUACCCAGAAAGGGACGGCUAACUACGUG